Molecule: ribosomal RNA, 496 nt
Filed under: Paradorippe polita
Lineage: Eukaryota; Metazoa; Arthropoda; Malacostraca; Decapoda; Dorippidae
Description: partial 16S ribosomal RNA
Source: RNAcentral
CGCCUGUUUAUCAAAAACAUGUCUAUAUGAAGAUUUAUAUAGUCUGUCCUGCCCACUGGUGAUAUCUAAAUGGCUGCGGUAUUUUGACUGUACAAAGGUAGCAUAAUAAUUAGGUUUUUAAAUGGAAUCUGGAAUGAAAGGAUUGACAAAAAGAAGACUGUCUUUAUUAUAAUAAUGGAAUUUAACUUUAAGGUGAAAAGGCCUUAAUAAAUUAAGGGGAAGAUAAGACCCUAUAAAACUUUAUAACUUUUUUUAUUAAAAAUUGUUAGUUUUUAAAUAAAAGUUAUUUUACUGGGGCGGUAUAUUAUAAUUUAAAUUAACUAAUAAUAAUUUUUAUCAUUGAUAAAUGAAAUUAUUUGAUCCUAAAAAAGAUUAAAAAAUUAAGUUACUUUAGGGAUAACAGCAUAAUUUUUUUGGAGAGUUCUUAUUAAAAAAAAAGAUUGUGACCUCGAUGUUGAAUUAAAAAUUACUUUAUAAAGCAUUAACCUAGGUAGUC